CAGGGCUUGACAUUUUACUUUCCUUUUUGAAAAAAAAGGUGUACUGCUUCUCGAAGUAGAGGUAUAAACAGGUGGUGCAUGGCUGUCGUCAGCUCGUGCCGUGAGGUGUCGGGUUAAGUCCUUUAACGAGCGCAACCCUUGUCUUUAGUUGAGUCUGUGUUUUAUAAACAUAGAAUCCAAACUAGAGAGACUGCCGGUGAUAAGCCGGAGGAAGGAGAGGAUGACGUCAAGUCAGCAUGCCCCUUACGUCCUGGGCUACACACGUGCUACAAUGGCCGGGACAAUGAGAUGCAACCCUGCGAAGGCAAGCUAACCUCAAAAACCCGGUCUCAGUUCGGAUUGCAGGCUGCAACUCGCCUGCAUGAAGUCGGAAUCGCUAGUAAACGCUGGUCAGCCAUACAGCGUUGAAUAUUGUUCCC
This 419-nucleotide ribosomal RNA is filed under the name uncultured bacterium. Its description in RNAcentral is "bacterial SSU rRNA". It matches the Rfam family "Bacterial small subunit ribosomal RNA", at positions 975 to 1375 of the family's 1533-position model. The record is from RNAcentral.